Molecule: ribosomal RNA, 255 nt
Filed under: uncultured bacterium
Lineage: Bacteria
Description: partial 16S ribosomal RNA
Rfam family: Bacterial small subunit ribosomal RNA
Source: RNAcentral
GACGUAGGGCGCGAGCGUUGUCCGGAUUUAUUGGGCGUAAAGAGCUCGUAGGCGGCUUGUCGCGUCGACUGUGAAAACCCGCAGCUUAACUGCGGGACUGCAGUCGAUACGGGCAGGCUAGAGUUCGGUAGGGGAGACUGGAAUUCCUGGUGGUAGCGGUGAAAUGCGCAGAUAGUCAGGAGGAACACCGGUGGCGAAGGCGGGUCUCUGGGCCGAUACUGACGCUGAGGAGCGAAGCGUGGGGAGCGAACAGGA